ACUACUUUGGCAGAAAAGUGCUAUGAAUUUAGAAUUCAUGAAUGUAAGGUAUCCUUACAGGUAGUA
RNAcentral lists this transfer RNA (66 nucleotides) under Somatochlora hineana. RNAcentral describes it as "tRNA-Leu". Lineage: Eukaryota; Metazoa; Arthropoda; Insecta; Odonata; Corduliidae. The record is from RNAcentral.